Molecule: ribosomal RNA, 301 nt
Filed under: uncultured bacterium
Lineage: Bacteria
Description: partial 16S ribosomal RNA
Rfam family: Bacterial small subunit ribosomal RNA
Source: RNAcentral
CAGCCGCCGCGGGAAUACGUAGGUGGCGAGCGUUGUCCGGAAUUAUUGGGCGUAAAGCGCGCGCAGGCGGAUCAGUCAGUCUGUCUUAAAAGUUCGGGGCUUAACCCCGUGAUGGGAUGGAAACUGCUGAUCUAGAGUAUCGGAGAGGAAAGUGGAAUUCCUAGUGUAGCGGUGAAAUGCGUAGAUAUUAGGAAGAACACCAGUGGCGAAGGCGACUUUCUGGACGAAAACUGACGCUGAGGCGCGAAAGCCAGGGGAGCGAACGGGAUUAGAUACCCCCGUAGUCCCUGUCUCUUAUACA